Molecule: ribosomal RNA, 555 nt
Filed under: uncultured fungus
Lineage: Eukaryota; Fungi
Description: eukaryotic LSU rRNA
Rfam family: Eukaryotic large subunit ribosomal RNA
Source: RNAcentral
GGAAAAGAAACCAACAGGGAUUGCCUUAGUAACGGCGAGUGAAGCGGCAACAGCUCAAAUUUGAAAUCUGGCCCUCGGGUCCGAAUUGUAAUUUGUAGAGGAUGAUUUUGGUGCGGUAUCUUCCGAGUUCCUUGGAACAGGACGCCUUAGAGGGUGAGAGCCCCGUACGGUUGAAUGCCUAGCCUCUGUAAAUCUCCUUCGACGAGUCGAGUAGUUUGGGAAUGCUGCUCUAAAUGGGAGGUAAAUUUCUUCUAAAGCUAAAUAUUGGCCAGAGACCGAUAGCGCACAAGUAGAGUGAUCGAAAGAUGAAAAGCACUUUGAAAAGAGGGUUAAAUAGCACGUGAAAUUGUUGAAAGGGAAGGAUUUGUGACCAGACUUUUUCUGGGCGGAUCAUCCGGGGUUCUCUCCGGUGCACUUUGCCCAGUAAAGGCCAGCAUCGAUUUUCGGCGGCGGAUAAAAGCAGUGGGAAUGUGGCUCCCUACGGGGAGUGUUAUAGCCCAUUGUAUAAUACGCUGCUGGGGAUCGAGGUACGCGCUUCUGCAAGGAUGCUGGCGU